UACGGAGUGUGCAAGCGUUACUCGGAAUCACUGGGCAUAAAGCGCGCGUAGGCGGGUUUCCAAGUCGGUUGUGAAAUCCCUCAGCUCAACUGAGGAACCGCAUCCGAUACUGUUUGCCUUGAGGACGAGAGGGGAGAGUGGAACUUCUGGCGAAGCGGUGAAAUGCGUAGAUAUCAGAAGGAACGCCGGUGGCGAAAGCGGCUUACUGGCCCGUAUCUGACGCUGAUGUGCGAAAGCUAGGGGAGCAAACGGG
RNAcentral lists this ribosomal RNA (253 nucleotides) under uncultured bacterium. RNAcentral's name for it is "partial 16S ribosomal RNA". It matches the Rfam family "Bacterial small subunit ribosomal RNA", at positions 524 to 776 of the family's 1533-position model. The record is from RNAcentral.